AUACUGUUAAUCUUUGUGUAGAAGUAUGGCUUGAUGCGCCACAGGAAGUAUCGUUCUGAAAAUUUAAUUAGACGAAGAAUAUUGUUGAAUAGACAGAUUUCAGUUAAAAUCACGAUAAAAAAAGUGAAGUACAAGUACUUUCUGGUUAAAUGUUUCAAGAAGCCCUUUUUUUUUUUUUACGAAAUAUGACAUCACUGAGUGUAUCUUCUAUUUUUUAACUUUGCUUGUUUCAGUCAUUAGUCUGCGGUCAUGCUGGUGCACCGCCUUGAAGAAUUUCUAGUCGAAUGAGUGAACCCCAGUACUUAUUUUUUAAAAUUUCUUUUUAAAAGUGUGGUACUUAUCCUAUCGGUCUCCUUUGCUAAACCGCUAAGCUGUUGACUCGUUGCUGCUGAGGCGUAACUUCCUCUUUUGGCCAUGGUCCGGUAACCACUUUCGUUGUUUUGAGCUUCCGUUAAAUCGCUCUCCAGUUCAGGCGAAUGCUGCAUAAAGUUGUCCAUAUACCGCAUAAAAUAAAAGUUUCGCCCCUAAAUGGUGGGAAAACCAGCCAUAAACAGAGGCCUGCAAAUGCAGGUAGAUCGUAAAAAAGACGCAAAACAACAGCAAACAAAAGGGAAAACCUACAACAAGGUAAAACAAACAAGUACUUAGCUUCACAGCAGAAAAAACACGUCUGUUCAACACGAGAUGAUUGGAACAACCAAAAAGAUCGCGUGUCGUUAGCAAACCGGGCAAAAUGCUUAGAAGCAUUUCGUCUGUCUUUAUGUUCUGUGAUCAAAUUUUGCCGAGGUUGACUUUGCUUUUCAUUCUUUCGGAGUCAAUAAAAUGAGUACCAGUUGAGCACUGGUGUCGCUCUGAUAGACUUAUCCACCUACCUCGUAAUUCCUGGCCUUAUGCCAACAUUUGAAAACCGUUAUUAUUGUUAUUGUCUGAAAAUGGCUUUGAAUACUGAUCAUGCAUUCUUAGGAUAAAAGGCGUUCCAGUCUUGAUAUAGGCCACCCCCAGUUUUCUUUCAGAUGUGGUGUAUUCAGGAGUGCGUUCUCUAAUGUGUCCGUAUUUCUUUUUCCCCCUAUAGGGCAUACAUAGAGGGGACAAAACAAGGACAGUCACAACAAAGGGACGGAAUUACGAACAUGAUAUGAAAUGGUUAAUACGGUGCAAUGAAAUCGAGUGAAAUAGAAUUUCACAUCUAAUUAAGAAUUUUUAAAUUAGAUCUUUUUAAAUUUCAUGCCUUUAGAUGUCUGGGGCCGGACGCGCGCUAAACUGGAGGUAUCAGCGCGCACGUCUGAACCACCUUCUGUGAUAGGGAUCGGGGCCUGGAACCAACCCUGUGAACGAGGAGUUCCGGUAGGCGCGGGUCAUCAGCCCGCGUCGAUCACGUCCCUGCUCUUUGUACACACCGGCCGUCGCUACUACCGAUCGAACGGUCCGGUGAGGUCCUCGGAUCUGGCCGACGAGUCCGCUUACGCGCGGUGGCGUCCCGCGCCGUCGUCCCGCGAUGGCCCGGAAAAGACGAACGAAUCCGAUCGCGUAGAGGAAAUAAAAGUCGUAAAUUUGACAUCUAAUUAAAA
Non-coding RNA from Octopus bimaculoides (California two-spot octopus), 1568 nucleotides. Lineage: Eukaryota; Metazoa; Mollusca; Cephalopoda; Octopoda; Octopodidae. The record is from Rfam.